UGACUGUAGCAAUACAGUUGAUGGCGACCGGCAAACGGGUGCGGAACACGUACACAACCUUCCUUUAAGUGGGGAAUAGCCCAGAGAAAUUUGGAUUAAUACCCCGUAAUAUUAUGAAGUGGCAUCACUUUAUAAUUAUAGCUCAGGCGCUUGAAGAUGGGUGUGCGGCUGAUUAGGUAGUUGGCGGGGUAACGGCCCACCAAGCCUACGAUCAGUAACUGGUGUGAGAGCACGACCAGUCACACGGGCACUGAGACACGGGCCCGACUCCUACGGGAGGCAGCAGUAAGGAAUAUUGGUCAAUGGACGCAAGUCUGAACCAGCCAUGCCGCGUGGAGGAUGAAGGUCCUCUGGAUUGUAAACUUCUUUUAUAUGGGACGAAAAAGGGUCUUUCUAGAUCAACUGACGGUACCAUAUGAAUAAGCACCGGCUAACUCCGUGCCAGCAGCCGCGGUAAUACGGAGGGUGCAAGCGUUAUCCGGAUUCACUGGGUUUAAAGGGUGCGUAGGUGGGUUGGUAAGUCAGUGGUGAAAUCUCCGAGCUUAACUUGGAAACUGCCAUUGAUACUAUCAGUCUUGAAUACCGUGGAGGUUAGCGGAAUAUGUCAUGUAGCGGUGAAAUGCUUAGAUAUGACAUAGAACACCAAUUGCGAAGGCAGCUGGCUACACGAAUAUUGACACUGAGGCACGAAAGCGUGGGGAUCAAACAGGAUUAGAUACCCUGGUAGUCCACGCCCUAAACUAUGGAUACUCGACAUACGCGAUACACUGUGUGUGUCUGAGCGAAAGCAUUAAGUAUCCCACCUGGGAAGUACGAUCGC
Molecule: ribosomal RNA, 820 nt
Filed under: uncultured Flavobacteriaceae bacterium
Lineage: Bacteria; Pseudomonadati; Bacteroidota; Flavobacteriia; Flavobacteriales; Flavobacteriaceae
Description: bacterial SSU rRNA
Rfam family: Bacterial small subunit ribosomal RNA
Source: RNAcentral